Molecule: transfer RNA, 77 nt
Filed under: Pseudomonadota bacterium
Lineage: Bacteria; Pseudomonadati; Pseudomonadota
Description: tRNA-Arg
Rfam family: tRNA
About the family: Transfer RNA (tRNA) molecules are approximately 80 nucleotides in length.
Source: RNAcentral
GCGGCGUUAGCUCAUCCGGAUAGAGCACGGGCCUUCUAAGCCCGGGGUAACAGGUUCGAGUCCUGUACGCCGCGCCA